ACUAAAAAAGGUUAGGCGCGACUGUCACUCCAUUUCAAAUCGAAAAUCUUUUCCUCCUCGCACUGGAAUUCACUCUCUCUCUCUCUGUCUCUCUCUAGAUUCGUGCUUUUCUCCGUUUCUCCUUUCCGCAAAGUGCGAAAGGAGGUACCAGUAGAGACAGAUUUAGGGAAUCAAAAGGAAAGCACUUAGAUUCUCUCUCUCUCUCUCUCUCUCUCUCUCUCUCUCUCUCUCUUCAAUGUCCUUACCUUCGAUUGGAGCCCCAGCUGUUGGUGGUGAUGCUGGCCAUGGCAACCCAUUGUCUUCGACUGCUACAUUUCUCUUUCAACGGUUCAAGAUGUCAGUGAUGCUAGCCACAAGAUUCUGCGUUCUUCCAGCAUUACCGUUGACAGAAUUUUUUAUUAUUGUUGGAAAUACAUGAAUUGAGAAAGGGAUUUUAUUUUGAGUAGGGGAUGAAGCCACUGGUCCGCAUAACAUACAAAAUGUUCGUUUCAUAUUAGACAACUCCAAGACUCCACCUAUCCUGAACUUUGUCUAGUUUGAACUGGAGUUCUGUGAUUUCUUUCUUUACCGUUCUUCAUGAUUCAUCUGUAUCUGUAUUUACCUGGAUGCUGGGAAUUCCCUGUAUAUUAAUUUUUGAAGAACUACCCUUCUUUUGCUA
This is a long non-coding RNA of Magnolia sinica, 658 nucleotides long. RefSeq lists it as uncharacterized. The record is from RefSeq and is a predicted model, not a curated record. The transcript has 2 exons. Lineage: Eukaryota; Viridiplantae; Streptophyta; Magnoliopsida; Magnoliales; Magnoliaceae.